Molecule: ribosomal RNA, 366 nt
Filed under: Penaeus merguiensis
Lineage: Eukaryota; Metazoa; Arthropoda; Malacostraca; Decapoda; Penaeidae
Description: partial 16S ribosomal RNA
Rfam family: Bacterial large subunit ribosomal RNA
Source: RNAcentral
UUGUGCGAAGGUAGCAUAAUCAUUAGUCUUUUAAUUGAAGGCUUGUAUGAAUGGUUGGACAAAAAGUAAGCUGUCUCAAUUAUAAUAAUUGAACUUAACUUUUAAGUGAAAAGGCUUAAAUAAAUUAAGGGGACGAUAAGACCCUAUAAAGCUUGACAAUAAUUUAAUUAUACUAUCAAUUGUUAGUGUAACUUGGUUUUAGUUAAAAUUUGUUGCGUUGGGGCGACGAGAAUAUAAUAGGUAACUGUUCUUAAAUAUUUAAUAACAAAUAUAAUUGAAAAUUAGUGUGAUCCUCUAUUAGCGAUUAAAAGAUUAAGUUACUUUAGGGAUAACAGCGUAAUCUUCUUUGAGAGUCCACAUCGACAA